Long non-coding RNA from Phalaenopsis equestris, 427 nucleotides. RefSeq lists it as uncharacterized. NCBI's taxonomy places the organism in Eukaryota, Viridiplantae, Streptophyta, Magnoliopsida, Asparagales, Orchidaceae. The transcript has 4 exons. The record is from RefSeq and is a predicted model, not a curated record.
UGUAAAUACUUAGGAAUUAAGAGAGGUUGUGAUGAUGAUGGUGGCUUAUCCAUCUAUCCGUUAUUUGACUUUUCAAGGAAGUUCUUUAUGAAUUUCUGCAGAGAGGCGAUAUUUGGUGUCGCCCAAAGUGUGGGUCCUGGAAAAUUACUCUGAGCGAAGCAUUUCGUUGCUUUGUUCGAAGUAUUCAUGCAGAUUUCUCUUGGAGAAAUGGUCAUGUUAAUUGUCAAUUUGACUGAUAUUUUACUCUCAAGCUUUCCUAUGCUCAUCUUACAGUGGUAGGCAUUUUGGAUGGCCCAAAAAUUAUCAGUCAACCAAUGCUUUUAUUUUUCUGAUGAAUGUAGACAAUAAUUUGCUCUCUUUCUUGCGGCUGAUAAUUUGAGAGGAUCUGAAUCUCCAUUUCUAUAAUACAAAGAAUAAUUAACACAGG